AAAGGAUCACAAAUUGAAAAACAAUUAAUUAAUAAAGGAUCUCAUUAAAUCGUUGUUUGAUUAUCGCUCGCUCUCUCUCUCUCUCGGCUUGCAGGGAAGAAAAGAAAGAAACCGGAAUUUUCCAGAAAACCCUAAAAUGGCAGGGAGAAAUCGCAUCCCUCGUGAACUUUAUAACGACAGGCGGGGAUUCAUCGUUGAACGACCAUUCAUUCGUGGCCAUCCGAUGCCACAGCCUGCUUUCUUGGAGGAGGAGCUUGAGAUGCAACAUGCUGAAAUCCGACGCCUCUUGGGUGAUAACCGUAGGCUGAUCGAAGAUCGUAUGGGUCUGCAGCAAGAGCUUGGCGCUGCAAAGGAAGAGCUUCAUCGAAUGAAUAUUGUGAUUGCUGAAAUUCGUGCAGAACAAGAUGUGCUUAUCAAGAAGGGAUUGAAGCUUGAGGCUGAUCUUCGUGUGACUGAGCCUUUGAAGAAUGAGACUGUACAACUCCGUGCGGAGAUUCAGAAGCUGAGUAGUUCGAAGCAGGAACUGGUUGGGCAAGUCCAAACCCUGAAACAAGAUGUUGCGAGACUGCAAGCUGAUAAUCACCAAAUUCCUCUUUUACGGGGUGAGAUUGAGGGCUUGCACCAGGAGCUAAUGCAUACUAGAGCUGCAAUUGAAUAUGAAAAGAAGGCCAACAUUGAGUUGGUGGAGCAGAGACAAUCAAUGGAGAAGAAUUUGGUUUCCAUGGCACGUGAAGUUGAAAAGCUACGUGUAGAGCUUUCUAGUUCUGAUAAUCGACCACCCUGGAGUGCUGCUGCUGAUGAAAGACUGAUUCUUAGUGUGACAAAGGUUAAGAAAGUUUUUGAAUCUCUUUGGUACUAGUCACUUCCCUCCCAUCCCAUCAGGAAGUUUGAAAAUGCAACGCCAAUCAGGGAGGUACCGUGGAGACUAAAGCAUCAUGGUGGGCAAGAAGUCAGUAUCCAUUCUCAGGUGAAGGAGACGAGAAGGGAGAAGGGAAUCCUCGAGGGGAUUGUCCCGCUCUAACACGUUAUACUAUCAUUGAAUCUAGUCAAAUACUUCAUUUUCGUUCUUCUUCUCAAGUGUUGUAGAAAAGAAAGAAAUUAACUCUUAACAGCUUCAGGUUGGACAGAGGCCGCCAGCAGGAAUCAAAAGCAACUUCUCCAGAACCUGGCACAUAAUUUGGUCGAGAAUAAUUCCUUAAUCCUGCCUUCUUGAGCAACAAUUCUAGAUGCUAAUAUUGUUCUCACGAAAUCAAGACUUGGUAUCUGUUCGGUCAAUUUUUAUAGCAGAGUUGUGCACUAUUUUGAGAAUGGUUUUACAUGUUGAGUUCGCACAAGGCCUCAUGUUCCACUAUCUCAGAAGUGUGAACAAUACGUGAAGGAUGUGUGGUGGGUUACAAAAAUUGCCUUGCUUCUAUUCUAGAUGUCAACGGCCGAGUGCUAACUUUUUAGCAUCCCUAACAAUAACAUAAUGUAUCACUUGCUGGCUUGCUUGACAGACCUGGCAUACUAGUUCAUCUCUUCAUCUA
Populus trichocarpa (black cottonwood) is the source of this 1526-nucleotide RNA transcript. It is a transcript of the gene named protein FLX-like 3, with no coding region annotated. Lineage: Eukaryota; Viridiplantae; Streptophyta; Magnoliopsida; Malpighiales; Salicaceae. The transcript has 4 exons. The record is from RefSeq and is a predicted model, not a curated record.